This 730-nucleotide ribosomal RNA is filed under the name uncultured Hyphomonas sp. RNAcentral's name for it is "bacterial SSU rRNA". It matches the Rfam family "Bacterial small subunit ribosomal RNA", at positions 33 to 819 of the family's 1533-position model. Lineage: Bacteria; Pseudomonadati; Pseudomonadota; Alphaproteobacteria; Hyphomonadales; Hyphomonadaceae. The record is from RNAcentral.
ACGCUGGCGGCAGGCUUAACACAUGCAAGUCGAACGAUAUAGUGGCAGACGGGUGAGUAACGCGUGGGAACGUACCUUUCACUACGGAAUAGCUCUUGGAAACGAGUGGUAAUACCGUAUACGCCCUUCGGGGGAAAGAUUUAUCGGUGAAAGAUCGGCCCGCGUUAGAUUAGCUAGUUGGUAGGGUAAUGGCCUACCAAGGCGACGAUCUAUAGCUGGUCUGAGAGGAUGAUCAGCCACACUGGGACUGAGACACGGCCCAGACUCCUACGGGAGGCAGCAGUGGGGAAUCUUGCACAAUGGGCGAAAGCCUGAUGCAGCCAUGCCGCGUGAAUGAUGAAGGCCUUAGGGUUGUAAAAUUCUUUCGCUAGGGAUGAUAAUGACAGUACCUAGUAAAGAAGCCCCGGCUAACUUCGUGCCAGCAGCCGCGGUAAUACGAAGGGGGCUAGCGUUGUUCGGAAUUACUGGGCGUAAAGCGCACGUAGGCGGACUUUUAAGUCAGAUGUGAAAUCCCGGGGCUCAACCUCGGAACUGCAUUUGAAACUGGAAGUCUAGAGACCAGGAGAGGUUAGCGGAAUACCGAGUGUAGAGGUGAAAUUCGUAGAUAUUCGGUGGAACACCAGUGGCGAAGGCGGCUAACUGGACUGGUACUGACGCUGAGGUGCGAAAGUGUGGGGAGCAAACAGGAUUAGAUACCCUGGUAGUCCACACCGUAAACGAUGAGAGCUAG